This is a small nucleolar RNA of Anser brachyrhynchus (Pink-footed goose), 85 nucleotides long. NCBI's taxonomy places the organism in Eukaryota, Metazoa, Chordata, Aves, Anseriformes, Anatidae. The record is from Ensembl.
GAUCACUGAUGAGUGUUGACAUGUAUUACCUUAUCUAAAGUAGAUGUUUAUCACCAAUUAAGCUCUAGAAUUACUCCGAGACCCA